UUGUAAGUGUCACUUUCAAUAGGAUGUGACUACCUACCGGUUAAUACCCAGGUAGACUGACAUUACCUAUACAAGAUGCACCGGCUAACUCCGUG
RNAcentral lists this ribosomal RNA (95 nucleotides) under uncultured Gammaproteobacteria bacterium. RNAcentral describes it as "partial 16S ribosomal RNA". The record is from RNAcentral. Lineage: Bacteria; Pseudomonadati; Pseudomonadota; Gammaproteobacteria.